CCUGGCUGCCGUUUGAAAUCAGGUUGUUGUCACAUGACACUGAUAUGGUCUGGUGGAAGGAAGCACGUACUGAAGAACCUCAAGAAGAUCUCAUGUGAAUUAGUGACUGUGAACAGUACGAGUUCGGUAGGUUCUCCGGUGGAUGGAUGGCACACGAUCAGUCUGUAUGUGAGACACACUCAGUGUAUAAUGCGAGCCUUGUGAGUGUGUGAGUGUGUGAGUGUGUGUACGUGAGAACGUGUUGUAGGUAUACUACUAUGAGAUAAAAGGACAACAAUUUCCACGGGACAAUGGAAACGGGUGAUGAUGACUUCGUCCUAUCAGAUGAGGAUGAAGCUGUUGAGUGAGUCUGUCCGAGAUUGUACCUACAGAGUAGCUUUGUUCAAUUAAUAUGAGAAUCAGAGCACCUGGAGCCAUUCACCAUACUACGUUCUAUUAUGUAGAGUGGGGAUGAUGCAACAAGCCACCGCCGAAACAUCGACUGACAGUGCUUAAUGCCUGUGGAGGAUCAAAGAAAUCCUUGAUUAUCGAACAGGCAAGCCAAUGAGUGGUGUUUGAAAUGUACACGUUUACCUAACGACUCAAUGCCGCAAAAAAUGGCUCAAGUUAAUCAAGAUGGAAUAAGCUUGUCGAGUACGGUAAAUGUUGAUUGACCCAAGGCCCAGGACAACAACUCUGAACUCAAAACCAAUAGCCAAUGAUGACAAUGGAAGCAAGUACCAUUGUUCAGGAGCAAUUGAAGCGAUUGAAGCCAUUCAGACCAUUCGUCAGGCUUGAUAGAUGACACCCAUUCGGAGUUCCCAACAUAUUUCCCAUUGAGAGAGUGAGAGCAUAUUAAGACUGCAACAGUUAUAUAUAUAUGCAAUAGUCUGUCUUGUGGAAGAAGAGCGAUAUAUAUUUUAUAUAUUUUA
Molecule: long non-coding RNA, 911 nt
Organism: Tigriopus californicus
Lineage: Eukaryota; Metazoa; Arthropoda; Copepoda; Harpacticoida; Harpacticidae
Exons: 5
Source: RefSeq, a predicted model, not a curated record